This 425-nucleotide ribosomal RNA is filed under the name uncultured bacterium. RNAcentral's name for it is "partial 16S ribosomal RNA". It matches the Rfam family "Bacterial small subunit ribosomal RNA", at positions 354 to 796 of the family's 1533-position model. The record is from RNAcentral.
GUGGGGAAUAUUGGACAAUGGGCGCAAGCCUGAUCCAGCCAUGCCGCGUGAGUGAUGAAGGCCUUAGGGUUGUAAAGCUCUUUCGUCAGGGAAGAUAAUGACGGUACCUGAAGAAGAAGCCCCGGCUAACUUCGUGCCAGCAGCCGCGGUAAUACGAAGGGGGCUAGCGUUGCUCGGAAUCACUGGGCGUAAAGCGCACGUAGGCGGCUUUCUAAGUCAGGGGUGAAAUCCUGGAGCUCAACUCCAGAACUGCCUUUGAUACUGGAGAGCUUGAGUUCGGGAGAGGUAAGUGGAACUGCGAGUGUAGAGGUGAAAUUCGUAGAUAUUCGCAAGAACACCAGUGGCGAAGGCGGCUCACUGGCCCGAUACUGACGCUGAGGUGCGAAAGCGUGGGGAGCAAACAGGAUUAGAUACCCGGGUAGUCC